ACUCAAAGGAAUAGACGGGGGCCCGCACAAGCGGUGGAGCAUGUGGUUUAAUUCGACGCAACGCGAAGAACCUUACCCAGGCUUGACAUGCAUCGGACGGGUGUGGAAACACACCUUCCCUUCGGGGCCGAUGCACAGGUGCUGCAUGGCUGUCGUCAGCUCGUGUCGUGAGAUGUUGGGUUAAGUCCCGCAACGAGCGCAACCCUUGUCCUUAGUUGCUAACGGGUAAAGCCGAGCACUCUAAGGAGACUGCCGGUGAUAAACCGGAGGAAGGUGGGGAUGACGUCAAGUCCUCAUGGCCCUUACGCCUGGGGCUACACACGCGCUACAAUGGCCGGUACAGAGGGUUCCGAAACCGCGAGGUUGAGGCAAUCCCAAAAAACCGGUCUCAGUUCGGAUUGCAGUCUGCAACUCGACUGCAUGAAGCUGGAAUCGCUAGUAAUCGCUGAUCAGCAGGCAGCGGUGAAUACGUUCCCGGGCCUUGCACACACCGCCCGU
This 498-nucleotide ribosomal RNA is filed under the name uncultured bacterium. RNAcentral's name for it is "partial 16S ribosomal RNA". It matches the Rfam family "Bacterial small subunit ribosomal RNA", at positions 899 to 1397 of the family's 1533-position model. The record is from RNAcentral.